This 253-nucleotide ribosomal RNA is filed under the name uncultured bacterium. Its description in RNAcentral is "partial 16S ribosomal RNA". It matches the Rfam family "Bacterial small subunit ribosomal RNA", at positions 524 to 776 of the family's 1533-position model. The record is from RNAcentral.
UACGUAGGGUGCAAGCGUUAAUCGGAAUUACUGGGCGGAAAGCGUGCGCAGGCGGUUGUGCAAGACCGAUGGGAAAUCCCCGGGCUCAACCUGGGAAUGGCAUUGGUGACUGCACGGCUAGAGUGUGUCAGAGGGGGGUAGAAUUCCACGUGUAGCAGUGAAAUGCGUAGAGAUGUGGAGGAAUACCGAUGGCGAAGGCAGCCCCCUGGGAUAACACUGACGCUCAUGCACGAAAGCGUGGGGAGCAAACAGG